Non-coding RNA from Caenorhabditis elegans, 141 nucleotides. NCBI's taxonomy places the organism in Eukaryota, Metazoa, Nematoda, Chromadorea, Rhabditida, Rhabditidae. The record is from Ensembl.
CUCCGGAUGAUCUAAUAUACUAGUUGGUUGAGCAUUUCGGGAUGAUUGGUAUUCAGUGCACAUGCAUGCUCAUCUAGCCUCCUCUUCUAUCCCCCCUUCUUCUCCUUUCCAAUACAAAGAUUCAAUUUCACACUUCUGGUA